This 200-nucleotide unclassified non-coding RNA is filed under the name Trichoderma sp. YM8-2. Its description in RNAcentral is "ITS1". Lineage: Eukaryota; Fungi; Ascomycota; Sordariomycetes; Hypocreales; Hypocreaceae. The record is from RNAcentral.
CCGAGUUUACAACUCCCAAACCCAAUGUGAACGUUACCAAACUGUUGCCUCGGCGGGAUCUCUGCCCCGGGUGCGUCGCAGCCCCGGACCAAGGCGCCCGCCGGAGGACCAACCAAAACUCUUUUUGUAUACCCCCUCGCGGGUUUUUUUAUAAUCUGAGCCUUCUCGGCGCCUCUCGUAGGCGUUUCGAAAAUGAAUCA